UGGGGGUUGAAGCUAACGGAAGUGUCGAUGGUUUUUAUGUCUGUUGACGCCUAUUUUGAGAAGGAAGUGAAAGGGCAGUGGUCGGCUUGACCUCUGUGAAGUCGAUUUCGUUGGCCGUGGAUCUCAGGUAAUGAUAAGGUCCGGCUACGGUUCUCUGAGGAACAAACUUGGUUCACCUCCCCCCCCAAUGUUCAAAUUCACUUCUAUUAUUAAAGACAAUCAAAUUGCCACGUAAAAGAAAAAAGAAUAUUAAAAACAAAAAAAAAGGAAAAUAGCUUUAAAAAAACAUAAAAGACGUUUUGUUCUUCUUUGAACUAAAAAAAUUUUAAAUAUUUUUUAUCAGAUAAAUAUAAAUUAUAUUUUAAAAUAAAUUUUUGUUAAUAUUGUAAAUUUUUUUUU
RNAcentral lists this long non-coding RNA (399 nucleotides) under Brassica napus (rape). RNAcentral describes it as "long non-coding RNA (BNAP_LNC020310)". The record is from RNAcentral. Lineage: Eukaryota; Viridiplantae; Streptophyta; Magnoliopsida; Brassicales; Brassicaceae.